Molecule: ribosomal RNA, 120 nt
Filed under: Misgurnus anguillicaudatus (oriental weatherfish)
Lineage: Eukaryota; Metazoa; Chordata; Actinopteri; Cypriniformes; Cobitidae
Source: RNAcentral
GCUUACGGCCACACCACCCUGAGCACGCCCGCUCUUGUCUGAUCUCGGAAGUCAAGCAGGGUCGGUCCUGGUUAGUACUUGGAUGGGAGACCGCCUGGGAAUACCAGGUGCUGUAAGCAU